CAAGAAUUUUCCAUUGAUAAAUACCCCAAAACAGAGUAAAGCCUCCCUCCUUUCUUUCGUUCCUUAGGCUGUUCAAAACCAUCACUCCUCGUUUCUCUCUGCACCAUUCACACAGGCCCAAAAAGUGUCUCAUCAUCUUGAGUAGGAAUGGCUGAUAGACACCAGUAUCCAUCUGUUGUGCAAAAGGUGGCUAACCAGGUCUAUCUCAGUUCCAGCCUACCCCAUGAUGUUCAAUGCCGGUAUGGGGGCUUUCAAAGGCCUGUUCUACAUCAGAGGCAGUUUGCAUAUGGAAAUUACUAUAAUGCAGGAUUUCAAUACCCUAAGACACAGGCAUGCCAAGUCUCCCCAGGCCUGUCAUUGGUUGCAUCAACCUCACCACUGCUUGUCCAAGCCCCAUCAGAGAAAGGUUUUGCUGGUUUUGCUAUGGAUUUUCUUAUGGGUGGAGUUUCUGCAGCUGUGUCCAAAACUGCUGCAGCUCCUAUUGAGCGUGUGAAGCUCUUGAUCCAAAACCAAGAUGAGAUGAUCAAGGCUGGUCGACUCUCUGAACCCUAUAAGGGAAUUGGAGAUUGUUUCAGCAGAACAAUGAAAGAUGAGGGAAUUAUGUCAUUGUGGAGAGGGAAUACAGCCAAUGUCAUCCGAUAUUUCCCCACUCAGGCAUUGAACUUCGCAUUCAAAGAUUACUUUAAGAGGCUCUUCAACUUUAGGAAGGACCGUGAUGGCUACUGGAA
This 728-nucleotide unclassified non-coding RNA is filed under the name Hevea brasiliensis (rubber tree). The record is from RNAcentral. Lineage: Eukaryota; Viridiplantae; Streptophyta; Magnoliopsida; Malpighiales; Euphorbiaceae.